Molecule: ribosomal RNA, 178 nt
Filed under: uncultured Chroococcales cyanobacterium
Lineage: Bacteria; Bacillati; Cyanobacteriota; Cyanophyceae; Chroococcales
Description: partial 16S ribosomal RNA
Rfam family: Bacterial small subunit ribosomal RNA
Source: RNAcentral
ACUCCUACGGGAGGCAGCAGUGGGGAAUUUUCCGCAAUGGGCGAAAACCUGACAGAGCAAGACCGCAUGAGGGAAGAAGGCCUAUUGGUUGUAAACCUCUUUUCUCGGGGAAGAAAAAAAUGACGGUACCCGAGGAAUAAGCCUCGGCUAACUCCGUGCCAGCAGCCGCGGUAAUACA